Molecule: long non-coding RNA, 774 nt
Organism: Tripterygium wilfordii
Lineage: Eukaryota; Viridiplantae; Streptophyta; Magnoliopsida; Celastrales; Celastraceae
Exons: 2
Source: RefSeq, a predicted model, not a curated record
AAAAAAGAGAAAAAGAGCAAUCGGCUGGGAGAAGAAAAAAGGGGAGAAAAAACAAAAGAAAGACCAAGAGAUAAUUUGAGAGAAUUCGGGGAAGAGCCACACAAGACAAAUAGCCGAGAAUGGAAGAGAGGACACAAAGGAAAGCAGCCGCACACAUUAGACGAAUCAGAGGAGAUCGGCCGCACAAAUAAUCACAAAAAGGGAGAGAAGAUUUUCCUUGUCUCCUUGAGAAGGAUUUUAUUUGGGUUUUAAUUUCUCACCAAACCCUAUAUCUGCAUCAUCUUGGAGAUCCGGGUUCACACGAUUUUUGAAAGCUUAAGUUCUCGAUUUUUGUGAUAAACCACGGUUGUCUACAGCAAAAAUUGGAAGAAGGUGGGACUCUUCAACAACAACUCAAAGAGGGUUGGCGGAGAUGGAACUUGGCUUGGGGAUCUUAGAGGCCUCUGAUAGUCUGAUGUGCUUACUUGCUUGGCUUGGGGCUUGGCUUCCUAGAUCUAAAUCAAUUGAAGCAAGAAGCUAGAAGGUGGGACUCUUAAGCUUCCUGGCCCUAAAUCAAUUGAAUCUGAGGGUUGUAGGAGAUGGAGCUUUGCCCAGAGAAGAUGAUUCUCAUUUUUUAGAUUUUUUAAAUUAUUAUUAUUUGAUUUAAUUUAAAUCAGAAAUUAAAAAUGAAAUGUGUCCCCAUUUCAUUAAUCAAUGCCACUAUGUAUGUCAUGUCAAUAAUUAUCAUAAAAUAAAAUAAAUACAUGAUAUACAUAUAAAGGUCAUGUCAGUAUU